Molecule: transfer RNA, 75 nt
Filed under: Thermoproteota archaeon
Lineage: Archaea; Thermoproteati; Thermoproteota
Description: Crenarchaeota archaeon (sediment metagenome) tRNA-Ile
Rfam family: tRNA
About the family: Transfer RNA (tRNA) molecules are approximately 80 nucleotides in length. Their secondary structure includes four short double-helical elements and three loops (D, anti-codon, and T loops). Further hydrogen bonds mediate the characteristic L-shaped molecular structure. tRNAs have two regions of fundamental functional importance: the anti-codon, which is responsible for specific mRNA codon recognition, and the 3' end, to which the tRNAs corresponding amino acid is attached (by aminoacyl-tRNA synthetases). tRNAs cope with the degeneracy of the genetic code in two manners: having more than one tRNA (with a specific anti-codon) for a particular amino acid; and 'wobble' base-pairing, i.e. permitting non-standard base-pairing at the 3rd anti-codon position.
Source: RNAcentral
GGGCCGGUGGCUUAGCCUGGUUAUAGCGUCCGGCUGAUAACCGGAAGGUCAUGGGUUCAAAUCCCAUCCGGCCCA